UUGUUUAACAACAAUAUUCUCAAAAUUUAAAAUACAAAUGUUUUCAACAAUUCUAAAUAACCUAUUGUGCUUCUUUUGCAUCCUACUAUGCUGGUUUUGUUGAAACUUCAUCCAAAUUCUACAAUAUAUAAUUGUACAUUCCUUGUGAAUUGGGUAGCCGUUGAAAAGGUGAAACAUGUUCCAUUAUAUCAUCUUCAAUGAUGAGUCAAAUUUAUUAGUCAUUGUUCAUAAAGCACAUAAAUAACAAACAAAACUAAUGCCUUAUGCAUAAAUUAAAACCCAUUAUGGAUACCACCACCACCCCAUCCAUAAAGAUUAGCAAGAAUUGAAUAUGAGUCGUACCUAUAAAAGCUUCAGUCGAAGCUUAUUUUCUUUGCACAUUUAUACCUAGAUGCCAAAAUAUUAACCUGAAUGUAUGUUGAUAUUAAAAAAAAUUAUCACUUCUCAGUAAACGUCCAUGUGACAGUAAAUUGUUACAGAAAUGGUCCCUCUGACAGUUAACUGCUAUAUAAAUGGUAUAUGUAACUGUAAACUGUCACAAGGACCAUUUAUGUAAUAGUUUACUGUUGUAAUGACCUUUUUGGCAACAAUUUCACUCAAGUUUUAAAAGUAAAAACUAAAAGAAAAAAAAUAAAUUAAAGUAUACCAUGUUAUCAAAGUGAAUUUGCUUGUCUAUCUCACUGAACCACGAAUCUGCAUAUUGGUAUUCAAUGUUAUCUCUAAUUGUCCACAUAUACAUGUAGCUGUUAGAUAAAUAAAGUUCUGAUUAUAACAUUGCACUCUAAUAUAACCUAUAAAGAAGUUAAGAAAAUAGGAAAAUUAAGUGUUUUAAAAUCUAUUUUACCUAUGGAAAGAUCCCAUCAGUCUUUGAAUUGAUACCUAUUUUUGGAGGAAAAAAACAUGUACAUUGAAUCCAAUUAAAAAAAAAUGCACACAGAAUAAAAGACAUUAACAUGCAAAAUAGUUGAACUUUAGAUUACUUUAAUCUUGAUGUCACUUUUCCAAACGGUAGCAAAUAUUUUCAAUAUGAGAUAUGAAUAUCAUGCAUGAAACUACAUAUUAUGGUUCUUAUUUGAUAAAUAAAUUACCUGUGUUGCAUGAAGUUGCUACUUGAAUAGACCUUUUAUCUUGUUCUUCUAGCUUCUCCAUCUCGUACAAUUGAAAACUUUAUGUCUCUCCUUCUGUUUUAUAUUAAAUAUCAGAUGCUCAAUUCCACAUUAUCAUUCUUAAAUUUAAGGGUACUCUACUCUUAGCUAAUUAAGGGGUAAGUAUGUACCUAAAUCGGAGCUCCAGCAAACCAAAAAACGUGAAUCCACAGACCAUGUUUCCUCGAUUCAAAGGCAUACAAACCAACCCAAUCCAAUUGCGCUAGUUCAUGUCCCAUAACAUACAAAUUGAGUUUCAAACUGAGAAGAAAGGGAUAAAUUAGUGAAAAUUGAUCUCUUUUGCAGUCUACCAAUGUUACCUUCGUUUGAAAAAACAAUUGAAUUCCUAAAGUUUCAAGUUCAAAAAACAUGGAAAACAACCAAAUGCACAUAUUCACCCAAAUUAGUCAAAAGUCGACACAUAUACACACAGAUUAGUCAAACGCCAAUAUAUAAUCCAUGUUUGAUUUACCUAAUUCUCGAUUUCGUUAAAACCCUAUCAACAAUUACAGUUAAUAAUCCCAAUCAGGUAAUAUGUGAACAAAUCUAACCAUACCUCCAAAUAUACCAUAAGGAUCGCGAGAAAUGAAGGAAGCUAAACAUAGAUGAGACAGGAAAACAAAUGAUUUCGUUGAAAGGUGGUCACCAGCGUAUCCCAAUUCCUGUUGUGGCUUCUUUUAACACAAUCGUCGGUGUUGGAGGUGACAACCGCGACGAGGGACCGAUGGUGAUGGAGCGAUGACAAGUGUUGGCAAUAAGUGGGUGAAGGUGACGGGGGUGAGCGACGAAGGAGAAUGGCGGAAGAUGGAGAAUGGUGGACGAGCUUUAGCUAUCAAUUUUGCCCUAAACAUUUUG
RNAcentral lists this long non-coding RNA (2000 nucleotides) under Lactuca sativa (garden lettuce). Its description in RNAcentral is "long non-coding RNA (LSAT_LNC001125)". Lineage: Eukaryota; Viridiplantae; Streptophyta; Magnoliopsida; Asterales; Asteraceae. The record is from RNAcentral.